CCCUUAGAUGUUCUGGGCUGCACGCGCGCUACACUGAAGCGUUCAACGAGUAUUUCACCUUGCCCGGGAGGGUUGGGUAAUCUUUUUAAAACGCUUCGUGAUGGGGAUAGAUUAUUGCAAUUAUUAAUCUUCAACGAGGAAUUCCUAGUAAGCGCGAGUCAUCAGCUCGUGCUGAUUACGUCCCUGCCCUUUGUACACACCGCCCGUCGCUACUACCGAUUGAAUGGCUUAGUGAGCCUUUGGGAUUGGCAGCCAACACCGGCAACGGUAGCUGGCCGCCGAAAACUUAUGCAAACUUGGUCAUUUAGAGGAAGUAAAAGUCGUAACA
This 328-nucleotide ribosomal RNA is filed under the name uncultured eukaryote. RNAcentral describes it as "partial 18S ribosomal RNA". It matches the Rfam family "Eukaryotic small subunit ribosomal RNA", at positions 1470 to 1796 of the family's 1831-position model. The record is from RNAcentral.